UGUGGUCAUUCAUCCGCUUGCGAGUCUCUGCGCCGUUAAACCCUCCAUCAAAGGUUGACCUCGGAUCGGGUAGGGAUACCCGCUGAACUUAAGCAUAUCAAUAAGCGGAGGAAAAGAAACCAACAGGGAUUGCCUCAGUAACGGCGAGUGAAGCGGCAACAGCUCAAAUUUGAAAUCUGGCGCAAGCCCGAGUUGUAAUUUGUAGAGGAUGCUUCUGGGUCGCGGCCGGUCUAAGUUCCUUGGAACAGGACGUCACAGAGGGUGAGAAUCCCGUAUGUGAUCGGCUUGCACCCUCCACGUAGCUCCUUCGACGAGUCGAGUUGUUUGGGAAUGCAGCUCUAAAUGGGAGGUAAAUGUCUUCUAAAGCUAAAUACCGGCCAGAGACCGAUAGCGCACAAGUAGAGUGAUCGAAAGAUGAAAAGCACUUUGGAAAGAGAGUUAAAAAGCACGUGAAAUUGUUGAAAGGGAAGCGCAUGCAACCAGACUUGUCGGAGGUGUUCCGCCGGUCUUCUGACCGGUCUACUCGCCGCCGACAGGCCAGCAUCGUCUGGGCGCGCCGGAGAAAGGCGCCGGGAAUGUAGCUCCUCGGAGUGUUAUAGCCCGGCGCACAAUACGGCGCCGCCCGGGCGAGGUCCGCGCU
RNAcentral lists this ribosomal RNA (640 nucleotides) under Dothideomycetes sp. genotype 587. RNAcentral describes it as "eukaryotic LSU rRNA". It matches the Rfam family "Eukaryotic large subunit ribosomal RNA", at positions 1 to 601 of the family's 3401-position model. The record is from RNAcentral. Lineage: Eukaryota; Fungi; Ascomycota; Dothideomycetes.